CAGUCGCCGCGGUAAUACGAGGGGGGCAAGCGUUGUUCGGAAUUAUUGGGCGUAAAGGGUGCGUAGGCGGUUUGGCAAGUUUGGUGUGAAAUCUUCGGGCUCAACUCGAAGUCUGCAUCGAAAACUGCCGGGCUUGAGUAUGGGAGAGGUGAGUGGAAUUUCCGGUGUAGCGGUGAAAUGCGUAGAUAUCGGAAGGAACACCUGUGGCGAAGGCGGCUCACUGGACCAUAACUGACGCUGAUGCACGAAAGCGUGGGGAGCAAACAGGAUUAGAUACCCCUGUAGUCCCUGUCUCUUAUAA
Molecule: ribosomal RNA, 301 nt
Filed under: uncultured bacterium
Lineage: Bacteria
Description: partial 16S ribosomal RNA
Rfam family: Bacterial small subunit ribosomal RNA
Source: RNAcentral